GGGCUAGUGGUGGAAUGGUAUACACGAGGGACUUAAAAUCCCUUGGUCUUUGACCUUGCGGGUUCAAGUCCCGCCUAGCCCACAA
This 85-nucleotide transfer RNA is filed under the name Candidatus Magasanikbacteria bacterium CG11_big_fil_rev_8_21_14_0_20_39_34. RNAcentral's name for it is "tRNA-Leu". It matches the Rfam family "tRNA". Rfam says of the family: Transfer RNA (tRNA) molecules are approximately 80 nucleotides in length. Lineage: Bacteria; Candidatus Magasanikiibacteriota. The record is from RNAcentral.